This 484-nucleotide ribosomal RNA is filed under the name uncultured bacterium. RNAcentral's name for it is "partial 16S ribosomal RNA". It matches the Rfam family "Bacterial small subunit ribosomal RNA", at positions 30 to 507 of the family's 1533-position model. The record is from RNAcentral.
AUUGAACGCUGGCGGCAGGCCUAACACAUGCAAGUCGAGCGGAUGAAGGGAGCUUGCUCCUGGAUUCAGCGGCGGACGGGUGAGUAAUGCCUAGGAAUCUGCCUGGUAGUGGGGGAUAACGUCCGGAAACGGGCGCUAAUACCGCAUACGUCCUGAGGGAGAAAGUGGGGGAUCCUCGGACCUCACGCUAUCAGAUGAGCCUAGGUCGGAUUAGCUAGUUGGUGGGGUAAAGGCCUACCAAGGCGACGAUCCGUAACUGGUCUGAGAGGAUGAUCAGUCACACUGGAACUGUGACACGGUCCAGACUCCUACGGGAGGCAGCAGUGGGGAAUAUUGGACAAUGGGCGAAAGCCUGAUCCAGCCAUGCCGCGUGUGUGAAGAAGGUCUUCGGAUUGUAAAGCACUUUAAGUUGGGAGGAAGGGCAGUAAGUUAAUACCUUGCUGUUUUGACGUUACCAACAGAAUAAGCACCGGCUAACUUCGUG